AUAACCCAAAAAUCCAGCCACACAUCAGGGCUGGUAUUCAAAAGGUUACCAGCCCAAAAUCGAUUUAAGCAAACCAAAUAUGAAUUCCUUGGUGU
This is a long non-coding RNA of Haliotis rubra (blacklip abalone), 95 nucleotides long. RefSeq lists it as uncharacterized. The record is from RefSeq and is a predicted model, not a curated record. Lineage: Eukaryota; Metazoa; Mollusca; Gastropoda; Lepetellida; Haliotidae. The transcript has 3 exons.